Molecule: ribosomal RNA, 379 nt
Filed under: uncultured bacterium
Lineage: Bacteria
Description: bacterial SSU rRNA
Rfam family: Bacterial small subunit ribosomal RNA
Source: RNAcentral
GACGAACGCUGGCGGCGUGCUUAACACAUGCAAGUGGAGCGACGAACCGGGCUUCGGCCCGGGGCAAAGCCGCGAACGGGUGAGUAUCACGUGGGUAACCUGCCCCGAUGACCGGGACAACCCGAGGAAACUCGGGCUAAUACCGGAUGUCCUCUCAAUCCAUCAGGAUCGAGAGCAAAGGAAGCUUCGGCCUCCGCAUCGGGAUGGGCCCGCGGCCCAUUAGCUUGUUGGUGAGGUAAAGGCUCACCAAGGCGACGAUGGGUAGCUGGUCUGAGAGGACGAUCAGCCACACUGGGACUGAGACACGGCCCAGACUCCUACGGGAGGCAGCAGUGGGGAAUCUUGCGCAAUGCGCGAAAGCGUGACGCAGCAACGCCGC